Molecule: long non-coding RNA, 4594 nt
Organism: Acanthaster planci (crown-of-thorns starfish)
Lineage: Eukaryota; Metazoa; Echinodermata; Asteroidea; Valvatida; Acanthasteridae
Source: RefSeq, a predicted model, not a curated record
UUUUGUAGGUCACCUUAUAGAGACGAUUUGUUGAUGCAUGUGCAGGCUUACUCUGUAUAUGCAACAUACAUGUAGGUUACCUGCAUGGUUCAAUCUAAAUCAAUUUCAAUCCAAAUAAUCUCAUUUCAUGGUAAACUACUGAAGCGUAGUUUCACUGCACUUCGAUUGUCAUUCACAGAUGGGGCCACAAUAUAAAAAGCCUUCUCCUUAGUUGACGUCACAGAUAUGUCACCUGAAUAUGUCAACAAAAUAUUGAACAAAUUUAUAUGUUCAUCGUUCAAAGGUCAUUUUCAAAAAAACUCAAAUACACAAAGCAUUUAAAACAGUUUUCAUAGUUCAGAUGUAAAGUGUCCUUUCGCAGUUAUCAGCCAUGGAAUUAAAAAACCGGUCUUUCAAUUUAAAAGUGUCCAUCUGGACAUUUAUAUAAAGCUAUCGGCUGCAUAUUAAAGCUUGGCUAUUCGAAUUUGCAUAUAAACAAAUAGUUUAAAAAUGCAAUCGAAGAAAUCAAACUUGUAUUUGGUUUAAGAAUAAAUCGUAUUUCUUUGUUUUCAAUUCGAAAGCAUGUUUAAACUUUUCUAAUUCACAAAUGCUCUUGUUACCUGCUAAUCUGAUUGCUAAAUUCAAGUACUACAUAUCAACAUCGCGCAUAGACCUUAGCUUCCAAAGGCAUUGUCCAAGUGUCUCUUGAAAUUGCAGAUGAUAUAAUUGAUAAAUGACCAGGUAAAUUGCAACAGGGUUUCUGACAGACAGAAAAUCUUGGCCAGAGUUGGACCACAUUUUUCCAAACGAGACUCUGUCGCUCAAGCGAGAGAGCCUACUUUUGAAAUGGAGACUGAAAGAAGUAUAAAGAAUUUGUAUCUUUCUUUCAAUAAACAAAUUGAAAACAUCUGCUGCGACGAUAGUUAACACUUAAGUAAAAUGAAAACAAAAUCAAGCUGAAAAUUCAAAAAGGAGAAACACCUUCAUAAGAUUAACUUGCAUGCAAUUUCAUAUUUUCAAGAACAAACAACUUAUCAGAAUGACCGUUAAAUUAAGACGAAUUUCGUAGCUUAAACUAAAUGAACUUGAGAGCGUGAAAUCUAAUUUGGACCACGGUUACCACAGUAGAGAUCAUAUUUGCUCAGUUCAUAUACUUGAAAAUCACAUUUAGUGGUGUUGUUUUCAAAUUUUACAGAAAAAAUUCUUAAUGUCAGUUUUGAAACAUUCCCUCCGAAAAAGUCAUCCUGAAUGCAUAAUAUUUAACAACCGAUAGAAAGUUUCCUUUUUUGUGUUCAUGGCUUUUAACAUGUUUCUCCAUUGCAAGCACUGUGUAAUUAGAAUCUAGUGUAGAAGCCUUGAUUCAUGGGGUGUGGAACUGAACGACGAUUACUAGUUGUAUAAUGAACGAGGAAAUUACAUUUUGGAUGCCGAACACAUGGUUCUACAAAGUCAAUGAAUUUGAAUGUAUUUGUGAUUAAAAUGAACGGGAAAAGCUACACAAUAUGAUUUUUAAUAGCUUCUCGCUUUCCCUUUAAUAGGCUUCACUGUUCAAAAACUCAUUUCUUUUUAUGACACAUUUGUUAUCGGUGUUUUUUGAGCUCGUUUUCAAUCCUACCGACAGUGUUAAGCUUCUUGAAUGAUCUCUAUUUAAUUUUGAAGUAACAUGUUUUUCUUUUUAGUUUUGUUCUUCCAUGUUCAGGAUUGUAUGACGUAAACUUUUGAACCAAGGAGAAAUCACACGUCAGAACCUGAUAAGUCAGGACAACUUUUUCAGCUGUUUGUUUUGUGUUUUGUGUUGUUGUGGUGUUUGCUGUUUUGUAUUAUUUGGGGGUUUGGAUGUUUUCUAAUUUUAGUCAGUUUUUUUUUAUUUUCAUACAUUUUCUGCAUGAAAAGUUUUCUUUCCUAAUCGUUUCUUGUCUUUAUCCUUACUUUAUCUGUAUUUGAUGUGCCGUUUGAGUGAGCUAUUCAACAGUUGUUUUACCAUCAGUCGUUUUGCUAUCAUAUACCGUCGUUUUUUACUGUCGUUUUUGAACUCUUGUAGCUUUUGGGGAGUUUAAGUUUCAAACCCUAGGUUCAGUUUGAUUCCUUUAUGUGAUGUGGAGCUAAUACACUUUGUCUGUUGUUCUUUAGUUUCUGUAUUUUUAUGUCUAGAAAAUGGAUGUACAUGUGUGGAGCCUCUGGCUAGAUUGCUGAUCUGAGCUGAAGACACUGGUUCGUUAGUGUCGACAAGACUAGUGCUACAGUGAAAUGAAAGGUCUGCUAAUUUUAUUUGUUUAAUCAAAAUAUAAUCGAACACACCUUUUUAUCUGCACCCACUUUGCACCACCCACCUUGCACCCACAGUGGUUCGUGCGCUCUACCUGUUUUUUAUCGGAUACAUAUUUUCCGUCGUUUUGUCGCGUUCGUUUCCGCGUCGUUUCGCUCGGAUUUGCUUUCGGAUUCUCGUUUCGUUCACCUGCGGGAUUUAGUGUUCUUUUUAUUGAAGAUGGUGUCUAUUAAUUCUUAGAGUAUGAAAUGUAAGAAGCAGGAGCAUGGGAACUGAAGAUGACUGGUCACUUUACAACGAUAUGUGCCUCACUGAAGGGUAUAAGUUAAGUAAUUAGCAAAACAGAUUGGCUUGUACAGUUAGCAAAAGGUUUUACCUUUCGAGUUUCAUUUUUCUCUUUCUAUGCAUAAUGGCGUAUUGUUGGCUGUCUUCAUUAUUGUUUUGCAGGUACAUGUAGGUUUUUUUUAGUGUAUCUUGAAAAAAUAAGUUUAUUCAUUAAACAUUCCAUGAGCAGAUGUUCGAUUUCGUGGAGGGAGUGGACUGUUGACGACUGAUCAACUCGAACAGCAAAUAAAAUUAUGUGAGUUCUAUUCUUGAAAAAGUCUUGCUCUUUUUUUAAUUGUCUCUUCACUGUCUUUUAUGGGUCAUUCCUUAUUUCUCAGGUAAUACUCGACACUUUAUUUUCCGUGGUUCGUGUAUACUGCCAUUGCUGUUUUAUCUUGUAAUUUCUUUUCCCAUUUUUGUUUUCACUGGUAGGUUUUGUGCUUAUGUGUGUCGUUUGUGCAUUUUAUGACAUGAUGUUAUGUUUUUCUAGUUUACUUUCUGUCUAGAAACUGUAACCCGGGAGUAAACUGGCAUUGAUCGGACACAGGACUCUGAAUGGUUUGUUUUUAAAAUAAAUAAAUAAAAGUGUUUUCUCUAAGACGUUUAAUCAUCUUUCAAUUGUGUUUUCAUACCAGUUGUUUUUCUUCUUGUGGAUGGCUUUUUAUAACUUUGUGUUUAAGAUGCCCUUGCAUUUUGGUUUUGUUUAUUUUGAGUAUUUCCAUUUAAUUUUAAUUAACGAGGAGUUAAGCUGAUCUUGAUUUUUCCCUCUCUAGUUUUCUCUUUUGAUAUCUAGGAACAGGAAAAUGGAAGCAUUUUAAUAAUUGAAUUGAAGCAAGCUUCAGAGACAUCAGUCGGUGCCAUCGCUGUUGGAAAUAAUUUGUACACUCAAAGGGGUGAUUUGGCUAUUGGACUGAUGAUCAGGUUUAAGCACGUACCACAGAAUUACAUGAAGACUAAACAGAAAAGUGCAUGUAACUAAAACUUAUUCAUAGAUUGCAUUCAGAGUGAAACCUUUUUGAUGCUUGAAAAAGGACAGAGUUUGAAUCUAUAGCACAUUAAUGCUACUGUUGAGAUGAAUUUUAUUGUUGAACAUUAAUUUGUUUGUAUUUCUUUCCCAUUAACUGCCAAGGGAUUAAAUGCCGGAAGGGUGUUAUAACCAAAUGGAUGAACUUAAGAUGACUAUCGGAGAUAAUACGAAUAUCCAAUCUGAUAGAAGAUGCUUAUCGUGUGUGCUGGUUUAUUCCUCCGUAUAUGUCCAAGAAUGGAGACAGUCGAAAACAAAGCAUAGAGUUUCGAAGACCUCCUACCAUUAGUCACCGUCGCCAGUUUUUGAAAGGGCUUUAUGUGUGCAUUGGGAGUUGAUGGUCAUCAGGCUCAUGAGCUUGCUUCUAGCCUGCUGUGGUGUCACAUACAAGAGAUGUAAAAGGAGAGAUUGGCUCCGUCUCCGUCUGCUAAGAACAAGACAACGCCGACUUCAUUUCUGUUGUCAAUUAGCAUACUUUCAAUAGGAAAACAUUCAGACUAACGAUGAACUUGCGAAAUUGCCAGUGUUAUUUUAGACUUUGUAUUAAAUAGCCCAUUGAAGUUCCUGAUGUUAUAUUUCGACUGACCACUGUUAUAUUUAAAGUCUAUAAAAACUAUGAGUAAUAAGUAAAAGCAAUUGUAUAUCGGUGUGGGAGCAGAGAAACUCGGAUGAAAGCAUUCAUAGCAAUUACCAUAGGAAACCCAAAAGAAUGUAUGUGAAUGUUUUAUUUGACUUAGGCAAAACUCCUCAAAAAUUUAUUCACCCUAACACACCAACAUUGUCAUACUAACUAUUACACCAUCCAGCAGGACUAACUUAGCCUAAGGCAAAUGAAACGUUCAUGCUUGGAAUUCUUUAGUAAAUGUGUAAAAGCAGUAAGUGCCAAACUGCAUUCACUGAAUUUCAGUGUUCCCACUACCUUAAUGUAAUGUUAUGUUAUAGACUGAUACCUCACUGUAUGCCUGUUUUCUAGUAUCCUUUGAGCUUGGAAUUUUUAUACU